AUGCAGUUCGGAAUUGCUCGCUCCGACAUCCAUGUCUCUGUCUUUGAGCCCGGUGACUUUCUCAUACGGUUCUCCGACCGCCGUGUGAGAAAUACCGCGCUCUCGGACACGGCGACGUUGCACUUCGGCCGUGCGGUCAUGCGUCUCUCGGCGUGGUCUAGAAGAGUGGGCGCGACCCUCAUCAGGCUCCCGUACAAGAUCAGGGUGUGCCUGGAGGGCCCGCCACGGCACGCGUGGUCGAUUGAGGGCGUCAAGCAGCUCUUCCCACCGCCGGCCAUCGUCGACCACAUCGAAGAAGAAACUUAUAGCGACGAGGAGUCGGCCUGCUGCUGUGCGUGGGUGUGGGUGCAGGAUGCCACCAAGACCGCCACCAUGGGCUCUCUCACUGUCGAGGAGCCGCCGGAUCAAAGCUCUGCUGACUUCCAUAGGCAGCUGAUGGAGGGGAGCAGCAAUGGCGCGGCGACGCGCUCCAGCCCCGUCAACCUGCUUGUCUACCCAGUUCUGAUUCACCUCGACCGAGUGUACGACUACACGGUGCAGCCAAAAAUUGACAGCGGCAGAAGCUCCAUCAGCGACAUCAGUGGCAUACCAUCCGACGACGACGGCUCGCUGGUGUACGACGACUGUGCCAAGUGGCACUACCGAUGGACGCUGCGCUUUGAGGACGGAACCUUCCCCGCACUCCGAACUGGCAGGCGUCCGGUGCACUCUCAUCUCAACUUCGGUGAUCGCGACGGCUGCGGCGGCUCAUCUGGCAGCAACGACAGAGGCAGGCCGGGCGGCGGAGGACCCAGCCGCGCCUCUGGUCGAAGAUCCAGCGACGGCGGCCAUCGCGACAACGCCGACGACUCCUUCAUGCGUGACUCUUCUUCCGGCGACCCUGGCUGGCAACGCCGUCUAUGUGCACCAAAGGGCGCUCCGGUCAAUGUUGCAAUUGAUGAUGGGGCCGGGAGACAGCACGCCCACGCCUCUAUCCAUGUUGAGGGCCACUUGCUGCACUGCCCUGGCGAGGCAGCCUUGCCCGUUGGCCUGAGAGCUGGCCUCCCUGAUGAUCUGGCUCUGCUUGAUGCAGCAACACCGGGCAUGCAGAUUGGGAACCUGGUUCCCACCCCUUUGCCUGAUGGACAGAGUGCAGUUGCCAUUCCCAUGUCUCCUGUGGGAACAGGUGUGCUGCCGCCCUCUAACCCUGGCAUGGACGACAGGGCUCUGCAUGCGCGUGAGGCUCCGUCCGGGUUGGCCCCGGUCAACUCUACGAUUGACCCAGAGGUGUCUGAUCCUUGCAUUGCUGUGGGGAACCAGGCGAGACAGUCUUCUCUGCAGCCCACAAAUGAAGCCCAGAGAUCUUUGGGCUGGCCACUUCUGCAACCCACAAGUGAGGCCCAAGGCUCCCUGGCCCCAGUGAUGGAGGACCUCAUUUCCUUUGGGCCUCCUGAGAUCGCUACAUCCCCUAAAGAGAUCCAGCUGCAGUGCUUCGUCAACUCGUUCACCUUGCUUUGCCCCACCCCUGUGCUGCCAACGCCGCCGCCAACACCACUGCCACAGAAACACACCCUCACCGACGACCAGUGCCCGAGUGGGCGCCUUGCCGGCAAGCCCAACUACAGACUCAACUCACUGACCAAGGCACAAUCCGUGCUCCUCAAGAAGAAUGGCCAGCUCCCCAAUGAUGAAUCACCGACAACCGAGGCCAAUCUGCAGAAAUACAAGGACCUGUACAAGCGCCCAGUCAGCUCAGAGUUCAUCGCGGCGGUCACCUCCCUCGUCUCCUCCACCGGCAAGCCCAGUAGUUGCGCCGCUGCAAGCAAGGCACCGCGAGCAUCGGCUCCUGGACCUGCGGUACAGUGA
This 1845-nucleotide ribosomal RNA is filed under the name Triticum aestivum (bread wheat). Its description in RNAcentral is "partial small subunit ribosomal RNA". The record is from RNAcentral. Lineage: Eukaryota; Viridiplantae; Streptophyta; Magnoliopsida; Poales; Poaceae.